CAAGGGCAGAAAGACAGAGCUUCUGGGAGCCAACUGACUGGAGCUGCUGCUGGGAUCACUAGGAGUGCUCUUGCUGCAGCUGACUCCUCCAGCACCAGAAAAGGUAAAACAUCACAAUGAAGGUGGCAGUUCUGUGUUUAUGCCUUAUCAGCAUCACCGCUGCAUGGCCAGUCAGUAAAUCCAAGCAGCAGGCCAUUUCUGCCAGCUCCGAAGAAAAAUAUG
Long non-coding RNA from Pseudopipra pipra, 222 nucleotides. RefSeq lists it as uncharacterized. The record is from RefSeq and is a predicted model, not a curated record. The transcript is spliced from 3 exons. NCBI's taxonomy places the organism in Eukaryota, Metazoa, Chordata, Aves, Passeriformes, Pipridae.